UACGUAGGGGGCAAGCGUUGUCCGGAAUCAUUGGGCGUAAAGAGCGCGUAGGCGGCCCUGUAAGUCCGCUGUAAAAGUCCAGGGCUCAACCCUGGAAAGCCGGUGGAUACUGUCGGGCUAGAGUCCGGAAGAGGCGAGUGGAAUUCCUGGUGUAGCGGUGGAAUGCGCAGAUAUCAGGAGGAACACCGAUGGCGAAGGCAGCUCGCUGGGACGGUACUGACGCUGAGGCGCGAAAGCGUGGGGAGCGAACAGG
RNAcentral lists this ribosomal RNA (253 nucleotides) under uncultured bacterium. Its description in RNAcentral is "partial 16S ribosomal RNA". It matches the Rfam family "Bacterial small subunit ribosomal RNA", at positions 524 to 776 of the family's 1533-position model. The record is from RNAcentral.